This is a non-coding RNA of Gymnothorax javanicus (giant moray), 73 nucleotides long. Lineage: Eukaryota; Metazoa; Chordata; Actinopteri; Anguilliformes; Muraenidae. The record is from the annotation of a GenBank genome assembly.
AACAGAGUGGUUCAGUGGUUAGCACUGCUGCCUAACAGCAAGACGGUCGUGGGUUCGAUUCCGGCCUGUGGCC